RNAcentral lists this ribosomal RNA (301 nucleotides) under uncultured bacterium. RNAcentral describes it as "partial 16S ribosomal RNA". It matches the Rfam family "Bacterial small subunit ribosomal RNA", at positions 509 to 807 of the family's 1533-position model. The record is from RNAcentral.
CAGUAGCCGCGGGAAAACGAAGGGGGCUAGCGUUGUUCGGAAUCACUGGGCGUAAAGCGCACGUAGGCGGACUUUUAAGUCAGGGGUGAAAUCCCAAGGCUCAACCUUGGAACUGCCUUUGAUACUGGAAGUCUUGAGUUCGGGAGAGGUGAGUGGAACUGCGAGUGUAGAGGUGAAAUUCGUAGAUAUUCGCAAGAACACCAGUGGCGAAGGCGGCUCACUGGCCCGAUACUGACGCUGAGGUGCGAAAGCGUGGGGAGCAAACAGGAUUAGAUACCCCUGUAGUCCCUGUCUCUUAUAC